UAGGGAAUCUUCCGCAAUGGACGCAAGUCUGACGGAGCAACGCCGCGUGAGUGAAGAAGGAUUUCGGUUCGUAAAACUCUGUUGUUAGAGAAGAACAGCGCAUAGAGUAACUGUUAUGCGUGUGACGGUAUCUAACCAGAAAGCCACGGCUAACUACGUGCCAGCAGCCGCGGUAAUACGUAGGUGGCAAGCGUUGUCCGGAUUUAUUGGGCGUAAAGCGAGCGCAGGCGGUCAAUUAAGUCUGAUGUGAAAGCCCCCGGCUCAACCGGGGAGGGUCAUUGGAAACUGGUUGACUUGAGUGCAGAAGAGGAGAGUGGAAUUCCGGGUGUAGCGGUGAAAUGCGUAGAUAUAUGGAGGAACACCAGUGGCGAAGGCGACUCUCGGGUCUGUAACUGACGCUGAGGCUCGAAAGCGUGGGUAGCAAACAGG
Molecule: ribosomal RNA, 429 nt
Filed under: Bacteroidota bacterium
Lineage: Bacteria; Pseudomonadati; Bacteroidota
Description: Bacteroidetes bacterium partial 16S ribosomal RNA
Rfam family: Bacterial small subunit ribosomal RNA
Source: RNAcentral